Molecule: ribosomal RNA, 402 nt
Filed under: uncultured bacterium
Lineage: Bacteria
Description: partial 16S ribosomal RNA
Rfam family: Bacterial small subunit ribosomal RNA
Source: RNAcentral
GACGAACGCUGGAGGCGUGCCUAAUACAUGCAAGUCGAACGCAGUGGGGACGGGUGAGUAACACGUGGGUAAACUCCCAUCAGAGGGGAUAACACUUGGAAACAGGUGAUAAACCGAUACUGAUGGAGGGCCCCGCGGUGCAUUAGCUAGUUGGGGAGGUAACGGCUCACCAAGGUAAAGAUGAAUAGCCGAACGUAGAGGGUGAUCGGCAAAACUGGGACUGGGACCAGGCCCAGAAUCCGAUGGGUGGCAGCAGGAGGGAAUCUUCUGCAAUGGACGAAAGUCUGACCGAGCAAGGCCGCGGGAGUGAAGAAGGUUGUCGGAUCGUAAAACUCUGUUGUUAGAGAAGCGGUAUCUAACCAGAAAGCCACGGCUAACUACGUGCCAGCAGCAGCGUAAUAC